RNAcentral lists this long non-coding RNA (1211 nucleotides) under Mytilus galloprovincialis (Mediterranean mussel). Lineage: Eukaryota; Metazoa; Mollusca; Bivalvia; Mytilida; Mytilidae. The record is from RNAcentral.
AAUAAUGCCCAUGGGAUGUUCUAUUAGUUGUGCUACAUUUGAAAAAUUUUCAACCUUUUUGCAUUGGUCAGUUAAAAUUAAAACGCAUUCUGAAAAUUUGGAUCAUUAUCUUGAUGAUUUUAUAUUUGUUGGAGAAGCUCAUAAAGAUGACUGUCUCUUUCUUAUGACUGCAUUUUCAAAAGUUUGUUCAAACUUGGAAGUUCCUAUAGCAAAAAAAAAAAAAAAAAAAAAAAAAAAAAAAAAAAAAACCAGAAGGUCCUUGCACAAAACUGGAAUGUAUAGGUUUGUUAAUUUAUUCAGAUGAGAUGUUGGUUAGAAUACCAGUGUUAAAAUCAAAAAACUUAAAGAUCAGAUAAAUUGGGUAUUGGAAAAAAGAAAAGUUACUCUGAAAGAAAUGCGUCUUUAACAGGUUCGUUGGCUUUUUGUGCAAGGGCUCUUCCCUCCAGAAGGGCAUUUUUGAGGCGUCUAUAUGGCUCUUUUAAAAAUGUUAAAAAAAAUCUCAUCAUUUUAUAAGAUUGACCAAAGGAAUACGAGAUCAUUUGCAUAUGUGGCAAUAUUUUUAUAAAGAAUUUAAUGGCUAUACAUAUAUCCAAGAUUUAGAUUGGGUUUCAAAUGCUGAUUUACAUUUGUAUACUGACAGUGCAGGUGGUCAUUCACUGGUUUGUGCAGCUUAUUUAAAUGGGCCAUGGGCAAUUUUACAAUGGCCAUAAUUGGGGCAAAGUUUUAUUAAGUGACAUUACUUAUUUGGAAAUUAUACCUAUUGCUUUGGCCAUCUAUUUAUGGAAAGAAAGGUUUACGAAUAAGAAGAUAAUUUUUCAUUGUGAUAAUAUGGCUGUUGUUACAAUUUUAAAUUCAAAAUCUUCAAAAAAAAAAGACAGGGUUAUGUUUUUGUUAAGAAAAAUAGUUUUGUGGACAUUGUUAUUUAAUUUUCAAUUUAAAGCGUUGCAUAUUUUUUCAAAAUACAAUUUUAUUGCUGAUGCUUUAUCUCGUGGACAGAUGAAGAAGUUCAGAGAAGUAACGAGCAAUGCCGACCGGACGCCACAGACUAUUCCACACGAAUUCCUAGAUCUUUUGUUAUAGAAGCUUCAAAAUUGUUGAAUUAUUCAAUUUCUCAAAGUACCAGAAAUGUUUAUGAAAAUGCAUUGCAUUCGUUCAAUAUGUUCAGGAUGGAAUAUUCUAUUCCCCUUAGUUGGCCACCAAGUAACAGACAA